UAGGGCGGGACACGAGGAAUCCUGUCUGAAUCCGGGUCGACCACGAUCCAACCCUAAAUACUAAUACCAGAUCGAUAGUGCACAAGUACCGUGAGGGAAAGGUGAAAAGAACUGAGGUGAUCAGAGUGAAAUAGAACCUGAAACCAUUUGCUUACAAUCAUUCAGAGCCCUAUGUAGCAAUACAGGGUGAUGGACUGCCUUUUGCAUAAUGAGCCUGCGAGUUGUGGUGUCUGGCAAGGUUAAGCAAACGCGAAGCCGUAGCGAAAGCGAGUCUGAAUAGGGCGCUUAGUCAGAUGCUGCAGACCCGAAACGAAGUGAUCUAUCCAUGAGCAAGUUGAAGCUAGUGUAAGAACUAGUGGAGGACUGAACCCAUAGGCGUUGAAAAGCCCCGGGAUGACUUGUGGAUAGGGGUGAAAGGCCAAUCAAACUUCGUGAUAGCUGGUUCUCUCCGAAAUAUAUUUAGGUAUAGCGUUGUGUCGUAAUAUAAGGGGGUAGAGCACUGAAUGGGCUAGGGCAUACACCAAUGUACCAAACCCUAUCAAACUCCGAAUACCUUAUAUGUAAUCACAGCAGUCAGGCGGCGAGUGAUAAAAUCCGUCGUCAAGAGGGAAACAACCCAG
This 620-nucleotide ribosomal RNA is filed under the name Campylobacter jejuni. RNAcentral describes it as "partial 23S ribosomal RNA". It matches the Rfam family "Bacterial large subunit ribosomal RNA", at positions 413 to 1030 of the family's 2925-position model. The record is from RNAcentral. Lineage: Bacteria; Pseudomonadati; Campylobacterota; Epsilonproteobacteria; Campylobacterales; Campylobacteraceae.